GUAGGGAGUUUUCGGCAAUGGGGGGAACCCUGACCGAGCAACGCCGCGUGAGUGAUUGAAGGUCUUCGGAUCGUAAAGCUCUGUUGCGCGGGACGAACGGCGGUCGCAGGUAAUGGCGAUCGUCUGACGGUACCGCGCCAGAAAGUGACGGCUAACUACGUGCCAGCAGCCGCGGUAAUACGUAGGUCACGAGCGUUAUCCGGAAUUAUUGGGCGUAAAGAGUGAGCAGGCGGCUCGCUAAGCCCGGAGUGAAAGCGUGGGGCUCAACCCCAUAAAGCUCCGGGAACUGGCGGGCUAGAGUGCCUGAGAGGUCAACGGAACUCCAUGUGUAGCGGUGAAAUGCGUAGAUAUAUGGAAGAACACCGGCGGCGAAGGCGGUUGACCAGCAGAGCACUGACGCUCAGUCACGAAAGCGUGGGGAGCAAAUAGGAUUAGAAACCCUAGUAGUCC
This 450-nucleotide ribosomal RNA is filed under the name uncultured bacterium. RNAcentral describes it as "bacterial SSU rRNA". It matches the Rfam family "Bacterial small subunit ribosomal RNA", at positions 354 to 796 of the family's 1533-position model. The record is from RNAcentral.